Molecule: ribosomal RNA, 26 nt
Filed under: Microcystis aeruginosa
Lineage: Bacteria; Bacillati; Cyanobacteriota; Cyanophyceae; Chroococcales; Microcystaceae
Description: partial 23S ribosomal RNA
Source: RNAcentral
CUAAUAAGGGCUAACGGUGGAUACCU